This 253-nucleotide ribosomal RNA is filed under the name uncultured bacterium. Its description in RNAcentral is "partial 16S ribosomal RNA". It matches the Rfam family "Bacterial small subunit ribosomal RNA", at positions 524 to 776 of the family's 1533-position model. The record is from RNAcentral.
GACGAAGGGGGCUAGCGUUGUUCGGAAUUACUGGGCGUAAAGCGCACGUAGGCGGACAUUUAAGUCAGGGGUGAAAUCCCAGAGCUCAACUCUGGAACUGCCUUUGAUACUGGGUGUCUUGAGUAUGGAAGAGGAAAGUGGAAUUCCGAGUGUAGAGGUGAAAUUCGUAGAUAUUCGGAGGAACACCAGUGGCGAAGGCGGCUUACUGGUCCAUUACUGACGCUGAGGCACGAAAGUGUGGGGAUCAAACAGG